AAGCGGAGGAAAAGAAACCAACAGGGAUUGCCCUAGUAACGGCGAGUGAAGCGGCAACAGCUCAAAUUUGAAAUCUGGCUCUAGGGUCCGAAUUGUAAUUCGUAGAGGAUGCUUUUGGCGCGGUCACUUCCGAGUUCCCUGGAACGGGACGCCUUAGAGGGUGAGAGCCCCGUACGGUUGGAUANCAAGCCUCUGUAAAGCUCCUUCGACGAGUCGAGUAGUUCGGGAAUGCUGCUCUAAAUGGGAGGUAANUUUCUUCUNAAGCUAAAUNCCGGCCAGAGNCCNGAUAGCGCACAAGUAGAGUGAUCGAAAGAUGAAAAGCACUUUGAANAGAGGGUUAAAUAGCACGUGAAAUUGNUGAAAGGGAAGCGNUUUNCGGNCAGACCUUUUCCCAGCGGNUCAUNCAGUGNUUCUCACUGGUGCACUCUGCUGGGUUUAGNCCAGCAUCGGCUUCUGUAGGGGGAUAAAAGCCNNGGGAAAGUAGNUCCCUCGGGANUGUUNAUNNNNCUAGGCNUNANNCNNUNNCGGGGGCCGAGGNNCGCNCUCUGCAAGGANGCUGGCGUAAUGGUCGUCANCGACCCGUCUUGAAACACGGACCANGGAGUCGAACAUUUGUGCGAGUGUUUGGNUGUUAAACCCUCACGCGUAAUGAAAGUGAACGGAGGUGAGAGCCCUUUACGGGGUGCAUCAUCGACCGAUCCUGAUGUCUUNGGAUGGAUUUGAGUAGGAGCAUUAAUGUUCGGACCCGAAAGAUGGUGANCUAUGCGUGGAUAGGGUGAAGCCAGAGGAAACUCUGGUGGAGGCUCGCAGCGGNUCUGACGUGCAAAUCGAUCGUCAAAUCNGCGCAUGGGGGCGAAAGACUUAUCGAACCAUCUAGUAGCUGGUUACCGCCGAAGUUUCCCUCAGGAUAGCAGUGUUGUUCUUCAGUUUUAUGAGGUAAAGCGAAUGAUUAGGGACUCGGGGGCGCUUAUUAGCCUUCAUCCAUUCUCAAACUUUAAAUAUGUAAGAAGCCCUUGUUGCUUAGUUGAACGUGGGCAUUCGAAUGUACCAACACUAGUGGGCCAUUUUUGGUAAGCAGAACUGNCGAUGCGGGAUGAACCGAACGCGGGGUUAAGGUGCCGGAGUGGACGCUCAUCAGACACCACAAAAGGUGUUAAUACAUCCAGACAGCCGGACGGUGGCCAUGGAAGUCGGAAUCCGCUAAGGACUGUGUAACAACUCACCGGCCGAAUGUAUUAGCCCUGAAAAUGGAUGNNGCUCAAGCGUCCCACCCAUACCUCGNCCUCAGGGNAGAAACGAUGCCCUGAGGAGUAGGCGGCCGUGGAGGUUAGUG
This 1333-nucleotide ribosomal RNA is filed under the name Graphostroma platystomum. RNAcentral's name for it is "partial 28S large subunit ribosomal RNA". It matches the Rfam family "Eukaryotic large subunit ribosomal RNA", at positions 48 to 1402 of the family's 3401-position model. The record is from RNAcentral. Lineage: Eukaryota; Fungi; Ascomycota; Sordariomycetes; Xylariales; Graphostromataceae.